GGCUGGUCUGAGUGCAGUGGUGUUUACAACUAAUUGAUCACAACCGGUUAUAGAUUCCUUUGUUCUUUCUCCACUCCCACUGCUUCACUUGACCAGCCUUAA
Molecule: Y RNA, 102 nt
Filed under: Propithecus coquereli (Coquerel's sifaka)
Lineage: Eukaryota; Metazoa; Chordata; Mammalia; Primates; Indriidae
Description: Y RNA (ENSPCOG00000003077.1)
Rfam family: Y RNA
About the family: Y RNAs are components of the Ro ribonucleoprotein particle (Ro RNP), in association with Ro60 and La proteins. The Y RNAs and Ro60 and La proteins are well conserved, but the function of the Ro RNP is not known.
Source: Rfam by way of RNAcentral